ACACAUGCAAGUCGAACGAUGAAACUCUAGCUUGCUAGAGAUGAUUAGUGGCGGACGGGUGAGUAACAUUUAGGAAUCUGCCUAGUAGUGGGGGAUAGCUCGGGGAAACUCGAAUUAAUACCGCAUACGACCUACGGGUGAAAGGGGGCGCAAGCUCUUGCUAUUAGAUGAGCCUAAAUCAGAUUAGCUAGUUGGUGGGGUAAAGGCCCACCAAGGCGACGAUCUGUAACUGGUCUGAGAGGAUGAUCAGUCACACCGGAACUGAGACACGGUCCGGACUCCUACGGGAGGCAGCAGUGGGGAAUAUUGGACAAUGGGGGCAACCCUGAUCCAGCCAUGCCGCGUGUGUGAAGAAGGCCUUUUGGUUGUAAAGCACUUUAAGCAGGGAGGAGAGGCUAAUGGUUAAUACCCAUUAGAUUAGACGUUACCUGCAGAAUAAGCACCGGCUAACUCUGUGCCAGCAGCCGCGGUAAUACAGAGGGUGCGAGCGUUAAUCGGAAUUACUGGGCGUAAAGCGAGUGUAGGUGGCUCAUUAAGUCACAUGUGAAAUCCCCGGGCUUAACCUGGGAACUGCAUGUGAUACUGGUGGUGCUAGAAUAUGUGAGAGGGAAGUAGAAUUCCAGGUGUAGCGGUGAAAUGCGUAGAGAUCUGGAGGAAUACCGAUGGCGAAGGCAGCUUCCUGGCAUAAUAUUGACACUGAGAUUCGAAAGCGUGGGUAGCAAACAGGAUUAGAUACCCU
This 739-nucleotide ribosomal RNA is filed under the name Faucicola osloensis. Its description in RNAcentral is "bacterial SSU rRNA". It matches the Rfam family "Bacterial small subunit ribosomal RNA", at positions 51 to 788 of the family's 1533-position model. Lineage: Bacteria; Pseudomonadati; Pseudomonadota; Gammaproteobacteria; Moraxellales; Moraxellaceae. The record is from RNAcentral.